This 253-nucleotide ribosomal RNA is filed under the name uncultured bacterium. RNAcentral describes it as "partial 16S ribosomal RNA". It matches the Rfam family "Bacterial small subunit ribosomal RNA", at positions 524 to 776 of the family's 1533-position model. The record is from RNAcentral.
GACGGAGGGUGCGAGCGUUGUUCGGAUUGACUGGGCGUAAAGGGCGUGUAGGCGGUUGGUCAAGUCUGAUGUGAAAGCCCGGGGCUCAGCUCCGGAAGUGCAUCGGAAACUAGCUGGCUGGAGCGCGAUAGAGGAGGGUGGAAUUCCUGGUGUAGCGGUGAAAUGCGUAGAUAUCUGGAGGAAUACCGGUGGCGAAGGCGGCAUCCUGGACCAUUUCUGACGCUGAGGCGCGAAAGCUAGGGGAGCAAACGGG